RNAcentral lists this ribosomal RNA (1037 nucleotides) under Clostridium perfringens. RNAcentral's name for it is "partial 23S ribosomal RNA". It matches the Rfam family "Bacterial large subunit ribosomal RNA", at positions 388 to 1428 of the family's 2925-position model. The record is from RNAcentral. Lineage: Bacteria; Bacillati; Bacillota; Clostridia; Eubacteriales; Clostridiaceae.
GAAGACCACGAGUUAUGAUCCAGAGUACCACGAGACACGUGAAACCUUGUGGGAAGCAGGGAGGACCACCUCCCAAGGCUAAAUACUACCUGAUGACCGAUAGUGAAGCAGUACCGUGAGGGAAAGGUGAAAAGAACCCCGGGAGGGGAGUGAAAUAGAACCUGAAACCGUGUGCCUACAACCGCUCAGAGCCCCUUAUGAGGGUGAUGAGGUGCUUUUUGUAGAACGAGCCAACGAGUUACGGUAUGUAGCAAGGUUAAGUACUUAAGGUACGGAGCCGAAGGGAAACCGAGUCUGAAUAGGGCGACUAGUUGCAUGCCGUAGACCCGAAACCGGGUGACCUAUCCAUGGCCAGGUUGAAGCGAGGGUAAAACCUCGUGGAGGACCGAACCACGUUGCUGUUGAAAAAGCAUGGGAUGAGCUGUGGAUAGCGGAGAAAUUCCAAUCGAACCCGGAGAUAGCUGGUUCUCUCCGAAAUAGCUUUAGGGCUAGCGUCGAGUAUGAGUAGUGGAGGUAGAGCACUGAAUGGGCUAGGGGGCAUAGCGCUUACCGAACCUUAUCAAACUCCGAAUGCCACAUACUUUGAGCUCGGCAGUCAGACUACGAAUGAUAAGAUCCGUGGUCAAAAGGGAAACAGCCCAGAUCGUCAGCUAAGGUCCCAAAGUGUAAGUUAAGUGGGAAAGGAUGUGAGAUUUCUAAGACAACUAGGAUGUUGGCUUAGAAGCAGCCAUUCAUUAAAAGAGUGCGUAAUAGCUCACUAGUCGAGAGAUCUUGCGCCGAAAAUGUAACGGGGCUAAACUUACCACCGAAGCUACGGGCUUGAACUUAGUUCAAGCGGUAGGAGAGCGUCGUAACCGGGCUGAAGUCGUACCGUAAGGAGCGGUGGACUGGUUACGAGUGAGAAUGUUGGCAUCAGUAGCGAGAUGUGGGUGAGAAUCCCACAGGCCGAAAACCUAAGGUUUCCUCAGGAAGGUUCGUCCGCUGAGGGUUAGUCGGGACCUAAGCCGAGGCCGAAAGGCGUAGGUGAUGGACAACUG